This 515-nucleotide ribosomal RNA is filed under the name uncultured bacterium. RNAcentral's name for it is "partial 16S ribosomal RNA". It matches the Rfam family "Bacterial small subunit ribosomal RNA", at positions 32 to 523 of the family's 1533-position model. The record is from RNAcentral.
AAUCAACGCUGGCGGCGUGCCUAACACAUGCAAGUCGAACGCGAAAGGGGCUUCGGUCCUGAGUAGAGUGGCGAACGGGUGAGUAACACGUGGGUGAUCUACCUUCGAGUGGGGGAUAACGUCCCGAAAGGGACGCUAAUACCGCAUGACGUUCCGGGUUUAAAGACCUGGAAACCACAGCCGGGGACCGCAAGGCCGGGCGCUGGAAGAGGAGCCCGCGUCCGAUUAGCUAGUUGGCGGGGUAAUGGCCCACCAAGGCGACGAUCCGUAGCUGGUCUGAGAGGAUGAUCAGCCACACUGGAACUGAGACACGGUCCAGACUCCUACGGGAGGCAGCAGUGGGGAAUUUUGGACAAUGGGCGCAAGCCUGAUCCAGCCAUGCCGCGUGAGUGAAGAAGGCCUUCGGGUUGUAAAGCUCUUUCGGCGGGAACGAAAUGGUUCGUGCUAAUACCACGGAUUGAUGACGGUACCCGAAGAAGAAGCACCGGCUAACUACGUGCCAGCAGCCGCGGUAA